RNAcentral lists this ribosomal RNA (434 nucleotides) under uncultured Clostridium sp. Its description in RNAcentral is "partial 16S ribosomal RNA". It matches the Rfam family "Bacterial small subunit ribosomal RNA", at positions 341 to 792 of the family's 1533-position model. Lineage: Bacteria; Bacillati; Bacillota; Clostridia; Eubacteriales; Clostridiaceae. The record is from RNAcentral.
ACGGGAGGCAGCAGUGGGGAAUAUUGCACAAUGGGGGAAACCCUGAUGUAGCGACGCCGCGUGAGUGAAGAAGUAUUUCGGUAUGUAAAGCUCUAUCAGCAGGGAAGAAAAUGUCGGUACCUGACUAAGAAGCCCCGGCUAACUACGUGCCAGCAGCCGCGGUAAUACGUAGGGGGCAAGCGUUAUCCGGAUUUACUGGGUGUAAAGGGAGCGUAGACGGCAUGACAAGUCUGAAGUGAGAUCCCCGGGCUCAACCCGGGAACUGCUUUGGAAACUGCCAAGCUAGAGUGCAGGAGGGGCAAGCGGAAUUCCUAGUGUAGCGGUGAAAUGCGUAGAUAUUAGGAGGAACACCGGUGGCGAAGGCGGCUUGCUGGACUGUAACUGACGUUGAGGCUCGAAAGCGUGGGGAGCAAACAGGAUUAGAUACCCUGGUA